AAGUCGUAACAAGGUUUCCGUAGGUGAACCUGCGGAAGGAUCAUUAACAAAUUUUCCCAACCAAACACGUUUGUGAACUGUUAUCAAGUCCAUGGUGUGCCCCGUCCUGGGCUGCAUUGACUACUUUGUAGUCUUGCAAUUCAGGCGGACCAUCGUGUUUAUUUACGUCUGACUUACAACUGAACUGAGACUUUAUUUUAAAUAAAGACAACUUUUAGCAACGGAUCUCUAGGCUCUC
This 238-nucleotide unclassified non-coding RNA is filed under the name fungal sp. Its description in RNAcentral is "partial internal transcribed spacer region". The stretch from base 1 to 46 matches the Rfam family "Eukaryotic small subunit ribosomal RNA", at positions 1786 to 1831 of the family's 1831-position model. The record is from RNAcentral. Lineage: Eukaryota; Fungi.